UACGGAGGGUGCGAGCGUUGUCCGGAAUCACUGGGCGUAAAGGGCGCGUAGGUGGCUCGUGAAGCGUGCGGUGAAAGUCCGAGGCUCAACCUCGGAUCGGCCGUGCGGACUCGCGGGCUCGAGCGUUGUAGAGGCGGGUGGAAUUCCGGGUGUAGCGGUGAAAUGCGUAGAUAUCAGGAGGAACACCUGCGGUGUAGACGGCUUUCUGGACCAUUGCUGACGCUGAGACACGAAAGCGUGGGUAGCAAACAGG
Molecule: ribosomal RNA, 253 nt
Filed under: uncultured bacterium
Lineage: Bacteria
Description: partial 16S ribosomal RNA
Rfam family: Bacterial small subunit ribosomal RNA
Source: RNAcentral